CCACCACAACGGCUUCCUGGCGUGGUGGGUUUUUUAAAUGGAGCG
This 45-nucleotide non-coding RNA is filed under the name unclassified sequences. Its description in RNAcentral is "SAM-SAH-Weickhmann-2018 RNA". It matches the Rfam family "SAM/SAH riboswitch aptamer". The record is from RNAcentral.